Molecule: ribosomal RNA, 1499 nt
Filed under: uncultured bacterium
Lineage: Bacteria
Description: bacterial SSU rRNA
Rfam family: Bacterial small subunit ribosomal RNA
Source: RNAcentral
AGAGUUUGAUCCUGGCUCAGAUUGAACGCUGGCGGCAGGCUUAACACAUGCAAGUCGAGCGGGGGAAGGUAGCUUGCUACUGGACCUAGCGGCGGACGGGUGAGUAAUGCUUAGGAAUCUGCCUAUUAGUGGGGGACAACAUCUCGAAAGGGAUGCUAAUACCGCAUACGUCCUACGGGAGAAAGCAGGGGAUCUUCGGACCUUGCGCUAAUAGAUGAGCCUAAGUCGGAUUAGCUAGUUGGUGGGGUAAAGGCCUACCAAGGCGACGAUCUGUAGCGGGUCUGAGAGGAUGAUCCGCCACACUGGGACUGAGACACAGCCCAGACUCCUACGGGAGGCAGCAGUGGGGAAUAUUGGACAAUGGGCGCAAGCCUGAUCCAGCCAUGCCGCGUGUGUGAAGAAGGCCUUAUGGUUGUAAAGCACUUUAAGCGAGGAGGAGGCUACUUUAGAUAAUACCUAGAGAUAGUGGACGUUACUCGCAGAAUAAGCACCGGCUAACUCUGUGCCAGCAGCCGCGGUAAUACAGAGGGUGCAAGCGUUAAUCGGAUUUACUGGGCGUAAAGCGCGCGUAGGCGGCUAAUUAAGUCAAAUGUGAAAUCCCCGAGCUUAACUUGGGAAUUGCAUUCGAUACUGGUUAGCUAGAGUGUGGGAGAGGAUGGUAGAAUUCCAGGUGUAGCGGUGAAAUGCGUAGAGAUCUGGAGGAAUACCGAUGGCGAAGGCAGCCAUCUGGCCUAACACUGACGCUGAGGUGCGAAAGCAUGGGGAGCAAACAGGAUUAGAUACCCUGGUAGUCCAUGCCGUAAACGAUGUCUACUAGCCGUUGGGGCCUUUGAGGCUUUAGUGGCGCAGCUAACGCGAUAAGUAGACCGCCUGGGGAGUACGGUCGCAAGACUAAAACUCAAAUGAAUUGACGGGGGCCCGCACAAGCGGUGGAGCAUGUGGUUUAAUUCGAUGCAACGCGAAGAACCUUACCUGGCCUUGACAUAGUAAGAACUUUCCAGAGAUGGAUUGGUGCCUUCGGGAACUUACAUACAGGUGCUGCAUGGCUGUCGUCAGCUCGUGUCGUGAGAUGUUGGGUUAAGUCCCGCAACGAGCGCAACCCUUUUCCUUAUUUGCCAGCGAGUAAUGUCGGGAACUUUAAGGAUACUGCCAGUGACAAACUGGAGGAAGGCGGGGACGACGUCAAGUCAUCAUGGCCCUUACGGCCAGGGCUACACACGUGCUACAAUGGUCGGUACAAAGGGUUGCUACACAGCGAUGUGAUGCUAAUCUCAAAAAGCCGAUCGUAGUCCGGAUUGGAGUCUGCAACUCGACUCCAUGAAGUCGGAAUCGCUAGUAAUCGCGGAUCAGAAUGCCGCGGUGAAUACGUUCCCGGGCCUUGUACACACCGCCCGUCACACCAUGGGAGUUUGUUGCACCAGAAGUAGCUAGCCUAACUGCAAAGAGGGCGGUUACCACGGUGUGGCCGAUGACUGGGGUGAAGUCGUAACAAGGUAACC